This is a long non-coding RNA of Photinus pyralis (common eastern firefly), 283 nucleotides long. RefSeq lists it as uncharacterized. NCBI's taxonomy places the organism in Eukaryota, Metazoa, Arthropoda, Insecta, Coleoptera, Lampyridae. The transcript has 2 exons. The record is from RefSeq and is a predicted model, not a curated record.
GAAAGAGUGAGAGAAAAGGAAGUAGUCAGUGCUGUCGGCACUUACCAAAGGUUUCCCGUUAUACCGUUAUAGGUAACUCAUUUGUCGAAUCAAACUUGGAUUUUUACAAAUAAAUAAACAAAUAUGGAACAAUAUGUCCACUGGAACUUUUAUUUAUUAAAUGCAAGAUAUGUCCAAACAAAAUAUGCAUGGAGUUUAGGAAACCAAGCAAUACAAAAGUAGAGCUGAAUAACAAUACAAUAAUUUAAGGCAUAUAAAAUGAUGGUCAGCUGCAAAUAUGAAU